Molecule: small nuclear RNA, 121 nt
Organism: Bos taurus (domestic cattle)
Lineage: Eukaryota; Metazoa; Chordata; Mammalia; Artiodactyla; Bovidae
Source: Ensembl
GUGCUCGCCUUGGGGAGCACAUGCACUAAAAUUGGAAGGAUCCAGAGAAAGGAUCCAGAGAAGAUCAGCAUGGCCCCUGAGCAAGGGUGACACGCAAAUUCAUGCAGUGCUCUGGAUUUAA